Molecule: non-coding RNA, 712 nt
Organism: Misgurnus anguillicaudatus (oriental weatherfish)
Lineage: Eukaryota; Metazoa; Chordata; Actinopteri; Cypriniformes; Cobitidae
Source: RefSeq, a predicted model, not a curated record
UUAAAAAAAUUAUAAUCACAAAGUGCCCAGUGUGAUUGCAAAGCCACAAUACAUUUUAGUCAUUAUUUCAACCUGCUUUAUUAUUAAAUGUAUGCAUAUAAAUGUAAAGAAAGUAUAUAUCCGGUUACCAUUUAGGUCUGAGUUGGAUGUAAUUUCAAAACUGCGCUGCCAAGAAUGUUUUAACAAAAUAUUUUACAAAAUCGCGCGAUAGGAUAGAUUUUCUCGCGAGAUAGUUGUCACGUCACACGUUCUCCCGGAAGUACGUCGUGUGCAGCCAGCAAGCCACGAGGAGAGGGUGAAUUUAUGAAGGAGUUGUGUCUAUAUAUUAUAUAAAACCUACUAUUGGUUGAAGAUCAACACAAACCAAAUGAAGAUGUUGUAGAUUCUACAAACAAUAAAAAAGAAGAUCAAGUUUUGUGUCCAACACACUUGGAUGAGACGUGCCUGACUUUGUCUACCCUACAUUAGGUUGUGAUGGCACACAUCAUGACAGUAAACAUCGGUAUCAAGAUGGUGUGAUUGAUCUAUACCCUAGAAUAAGCUGUGACACUGAUGCUGUGAACGUGCUACUGAUGCUUUUUUUGUGCAUUCCCACACUAUACAAACACAUUGCUUGGCUCCAUAUUGCAUACAGUUCCAUCUUUAUAAUGUCAUUCUCAUUUAUAGGGUCACAUAAUGAACAGCCAUCUUACAGAAAACCGAAAGAGGCAUA